AUUCUGGUAUUGUUGCUGCAGCUGGUGUUGUGAAUCAGGCCGACAAGCAGCUCAUCCUAUUACCCGGCUAUUUCACCACACCAGGGUUGCAUCAUACCGCUCUCCUUC
This 108-nucleotide microRNA precursor is filed under the name Notamacropus eugenii (tammar wallaby). The record is from RNAcentral. Lineage: Eukaryota; Metazoa; Chordata; Mammalia; Diprotodontia; Macropodidae.